Molecule: ribosomal RNA, 301 nt
Filed under: uncultured bacterium
Lineage: Bacteria
Description: partial 16S ribosomal RNA
Rfam family: Bacterial small subunit ribosomal RNA
Source: RNAcentral
CAGUCGCCACGGUAAUACGAAGGGGGCUAGCGUUGCUCGGAAUGACUGGGCGUAAAGGGCGCGUAGGCGGCGAUCAAAGUCAGGCGUGAAAUUCCUGGGCUCAACCUGGGGGCUGCGUUUGAUACUCGGUUGCUAGAGUGAGGAAGAGGGUCGUGGAACUCCCAGUGUAGAGGUGAAAUUCGUAGAUAUUGGGAAGAACACCGGUGGCGAAGGCGGCGACCUGGUCCUUGACUGACGCUAAGGCGCGAAAGCGUGGGGAGCAAACAGGAUUAGAUACCAGCGUGUCCCUGUCCUUAUACAC